Long non-coding RNA from Bombus huntii, 2515 nucleotides. RefSeq lists it as uncharacterized. Lineage: Eukaryota; Metazoa; Arthropoda; Insecta; Hymenoptera; Apidae. The record is from RefSeq and is a predicted model, not a curated record. The transcript has 3 exons.
UUUUUUUUAUAAGGAUCAAGGAACUUUGUAGUCUAUGUUAAAUAAUUCUCUUAUCUUAAUACUUCGAUUGUAUUUUAUUAACGAGUAAAGAAAGGAAAAUUUAAAAGGCAUACGUAUAAGAAAAUAUAAAGAGGUAUAACUUAACGUAAACGAGACUAUUCAGGAUCUAAACUCUAAACAGCAGCCACAUGGAACGUUCACGCUUGUCAGAAUAAAUUAACGGAAUAAAAGUCAACGAUACCCUAAUGAUACCAUUGUGCUUCUAUGUUCUGGCAAUUUAUGCGCAUUUAAGAAUUUUCGACGAACCAAAACGGACGUUAUGCGUUGAAUAGCCGUGAAAGUGAACCCUCCGCCAGACACAAAACAAUCUUUCUCGUAUCCCUGAAAAGGGUCUACAAGAAUUUUGAAAGAAAUUCGAGCGACUGAAAAUCGAAAACUGUAAUAGCUUUAAUAUGUUGGGAAUAUAUAAGAUGAUCUAUAUUUACAAAAUAAAAAGAAUGCAUAUAAAAUGAGAUUAGAAAUUUUAUCGAUUUGAGACAUAUGCUAUAUGUAUAUAAUGUUAACUUUUUUAUGGAGAUUAAAAAAUUUCAUCUAUUUAGGUUAAUUACAAUUAUUUCUCUUAAAGAAUUAUAAAUAAUUGAAACGUGGUACUCGUUUAAUAUCAUGGAAAAGAAAGAUUAAAGUAAACGUUUGUAUUAUUGAAUACUUUAGUUUUGGAAGGUUUUUUCAAAACACAAAAUAGUGAAAAGAAAUUUUGUAUAUUGUUUACUAUAGUAUCACUAAGUUAAUUACCAACUAAAAUAUUACUAAAUAUCGCUUUGUGAUUCUUAAGGCGUAUGAAACGAUCUACAAUGAAAAGUCGGGAAAGGGAAAUGAUUUUAUAAGAAAAAGAAAGCUUAGAAUAAUGAAGUCACUGGUCCUAGGGACGACACAGCAGGUGGCAUCGCUUUCGGAAAGACGAAAAAAAUGUGUAGCGGCGAACUUUCACCGGUUAAUGAGACGUUAAUGCAACAAAUGGCACUCCUGUGGUUAAAAUGUAACUUAACGAAUGUAAAAUGUCACCGUCGCGAUUGGACAUCCAUCUUGGAAUGAUUACUUAUAAUUAAGAUUUCGUAUUCGCUUUCCCCGAGAUGAAUAUUCGAUUAUUGGUAAAAAGAAAUAUCAACUAGUUAGCCGUUUUAGCUAUAAGGAAAUUGUAAAUGCGUGCGUAUUCCAUGAAAAGUUCCUCGUAAAGUAAUCAGCUUCUCGGUAGAGCAUUCGAUUUAAGUGUUUCUCGCAUUAACGUGUCUAUGGGAUAGCUAUUGAUACACUGCUGAGAAAUUCCUUCGUGAGAAACAUAUAAUGUAAGAUUACACUUUUUUGUUUAGUGAACGACGAAUCUCAUUUGUUCGUUUUAUUGAGAACAUAUUCAACAAAGCAGCAAAUAUUAUUUCCAUUUUUAAAGCGUAUUUUAAUUUAUUUAUUUACCUUGUGUUAACUGAAUCACAGUCAUCAGAGAUUGCUUCAAGCAGUUUGAUAGCUUGUAAAUAAAUUUGUUAUUCGGAUCCUAGAGGAAUUAAUAUUAUUUGUAACUCUUCUAAAUCGAUAUACAUAUACAUACAUAGAAUUUUGACUGUGAUUGCAAAGAUAGAAUACAAGGAAAGAAUACAAAGAUACGCUUACAUAUUUCAAUAUUUUAGGUAAAAGUUGAAAAACGCUGUAUUCAUUUUCUCAUCUCUCUCUAUCUACUCUAUAUAUGGUUCCAACGAUUUUAAAAACUGUCUAAAUUUCCAAAAAAUAUCCAUAUCAGAUUACAUCGAGAUCAAAUUGUACAUAAGUAUUGCUGUAACGAAUAUUGAUAUGUUAACGAUAACGAGACUAUUUUUUAGUUGUUCUUGGAACUGGAUAGUUUAAAAAAGAAGAGAGGAAAAGCAAAAAAUAGAACCAAUAAUAGUAAAACGCAUCGUCUCUGUUAUGAAGCGCAGUCAGCGAGCAAGUAUCACGAAUGCGGGAGCUGGCGAGGUAACGGAGGCGCAUAAACCUCGGUUAUGGUACCAAGAUAAGUUCGAGCAUAGUCCUAGUAUGGUCAUGACAGGGAAAACCACGAAUUUCGCGAGAACAGACUCCGUGGUUAUUACAAAGAUCAUUGGAUUCCUCGAAGAAGACGCACCGAAAUUGGAGUGAGCAAUAAACCAGCGCAUUGAUUUUCAAUCCUAGCUCGAUGCUUUCCACGAAUUUUCUAGUGAAGUGCUUUUCCAAUUUGCUACGUUGCACAGAAUGGCAUGCAGUGGAUACAAAUCGAAAUAAUCAUUGCCUGAUAUUGAUCUUAUUAUUCGAUAAUAUCCUCAGUCUGUAAGUAAUUAAUAUAAAUGUAAACAAUGGUUUCCCAAAAUAUCGAUAGAGAAUUAAUAAAAAUGUGAAAUCCACUCAUAAUCACGACUUGGUUGAAGAUUUCUGACCACGCCUAUUUCAAGAAAAUUGUAAAAGUUACAUAAAAAUGCUGUAUUUCAUUAAAUGUCAGCAUGAUAUCUGACGG